RNAcentral lists this ribosomal RNA (109 nucleotides) under Propithecus coquereli (Coquerel's sifaka). The record is from RNAcentral. Lineage: Eukaryota; Metazoa; Chordata; Mammalia; Primates; Indriidae.
GUCUACGGCCUUACUCCCCCGAAUGCACCCGAUCUCGUCUGAUAUCGGAAGCUAAGCAGGGUCUGGCCUGGUUAGUACUUGGAUGGGAGAAAUGCACAGAGCUUAGUCU